This 450-nucleotide ribosomal RNA is filed under the name uncultured bacterium. RNAcentral describes it as "partial 16S ribosomal RNA". It matches the Rfam family "Bacterial small subunit ribosomal RNA", at positions 338 to 795 of the family's 1533-position model. The record is from RNAcentral.
CCUAGGGGGGCUGCAGUGGGGAAUUUUGCGCAAUGGGGGAAACCCUGACGCAGCAACGCCGCGUGAGUGAUGAAGGCCUUCGGGUCGUAAAGCUCUGUCAGAGGGGAAGAAAUGCAGGGGUGCUAAUAUCAUCUUUGCUUGACGGUACCCUCAAAGGAAGCACCGGCUAACUCCGUGCCAGCAGCCGCGGUAAUACGGAGGGUGCGAGCGUUGUUCGGAAUUAUUGGGCGUAAAUCGCGUGUAGGCGGUUGAAAGCCCCGGGCUCAACCUGGGAAGUGCAUUGGAAACUGUCAGACUUGAAUACGGGAGAGGGUAGUGGAAUUCCUAGUGUAGGAGUGAAAUCCGUAGAUAUUAGGAGGAACACCGGUGGCGAAGGCGGCUACCUGGACCGAUAUUGACGCUGAGACGCGAAAGCGUGGGGAGCAAACAGGAUUAGAUACCCCUGUAGUC